Molecule: ribosomal RNA, 368 nt
Filed under: uncultured Glomeromycotina
Lineage: Eukaryota; Fungi; Glomeromycota
Description: SSU rRNA
Rfam family: Eukaryotic small subunit ribosomal RNA
Source: RNAcentral
AGCAGCCGCGGUAAUUCCAGCUCCAAUAGCGUAUAUUAAAGUUGUUGCAGUUAAAAGCUCGUAGUUGAACCUUAGGCCCGUGCGGGCGGUCCGUCCUCUGGGCGAGCACUGCCUCGUCGCGGGUCUCACCUUCUGGCGAGCGCGGAUGCCAUUUAUUUGGUGUCCGCGGGAACCAGGACCUUUACCUUGAAAAAUUAGAGUGCUCAAAGCGGGCUCCGACGCUUGAAUACAUUAGCAUGGAAUAAUGAAAUAGGACGAUGGUUCUAUUUUGUUGGUUUCCGGGACCGUCGUAAUGAUUAAUAGGGAUAGUUGGGGGCAUUCGUAUUCAAUUGUCAGAGGUGAAAUUCUUGGAUUUAUUGAAGACGAAC